This is a small nuclear RNA of Sapajus apella (tufted capuchin), 107 nucleotides long. The record is from RefSeq and is a predicted model, not a curated record. NCBI's taxonomy places the organism in Eukaryota, Metazoa, Chordata, Mammalia, Primates, Cebidae.
CUGCUCGCUUCGGCAGCACAUAUGCUAAAAUUGAAAUGAGACAGAGAAGAUUACCAUGGCCACUGUGUAAGGAUGACAUGCAAAUUCAUGAAGUGUUCCAUAUUUUU